RNAcentral lists this ribosomal RNA (408 nucleotides) under uncultured bacterium. RNAcentral describes it as "partial 16S ribosomal RNA". It matches the Rfam family "Bacterial small subunit ribosomal RNA", at positions 28 to 526 of the family's 1533-position model. The record is from RNAcentral.
GACGAACGCUGGCGGCGUGCUUAACACAUGCAAGUCGAACGAAGUGGCGAACGGGUGAGUAACGCGUAAUCAACCUGCCCUUCAGAGGGGGACAACAGUUGGAAACGACUGCUAAUACCGCAUACUGAAGGAGGGGAUUGCGUCUGAUUAGCUAGUUGGAGGGGUAACGGCCCACCAAGGCGAUGAUCAGUAGCCGGUCUGAGAGGAUGAACGGCCACAUUGGGACUGAGACACGGCCCAGACUCCUACGGGAGGCAGCAGUGAGGAAUAUUGGUCAAUGGGCGUUAGCCUGAACCAGCCAAGUAGCGUGAAGGAUGAAGGUCUAUGGGUCGUAAACUUCUUUUAUAUAAGAAUAUGUAUUAUAUGAAUAAGGAUCGGCUAACUCCGUGCCAGCAGCCGCGGUAAUAC